This 73-nucleotide transfer RNA is filed under the name Urbifossiella limnaea. RNAcentral's name for it is "Planctomycetes bacterium ETA_A1 tRNA-Val". It matches the Rfam family "tRNA". From Rfam's summary of the family: Transfer RNA (tRNA) molecules are approximately 80 nucleotides in length. Their secondary structure includes four short double-helical elements and three loops (D, anti-codon, and T loops). The record is from RNAcentral. Lineage: Bacteria; Pseudomonadati; Planctomycetota; Planctomycetia; Gemmatales; Gemmataceae.
GGACGCUUAGCUCAGCGGUAGAGCACUCCCCUUACACGGGAGUGGUCACAGGUUCGAAUCCUGUAGCGUCCAC